Molecule: ribosomal RNA, 465 nt
Filed under: uncultured Klebsiella sp.
Lineage: Bacteria; Pseudomonadati; Pseudomonadota; Gammaproteobacteria; Enterobacterales; Enterobacteriaceae
Description: bacterial SSU rRNA
Rfam family: Bacterial small subunit ribosomal RNA
Source: RNAcentral
CCUACGGGAGGCUGCAGCGGGGAAUAUUGCACAAUGGGCGCAAGCCUGAUGCAGCCAUGCCGCGUGUGUGAAGAAGGCCUUCGGGUUGUAAAGCACUUUCAGCGGGGAGGAAGGCGGUGAGGUUAAUAACCUCAUCGAUUGACGUUACCCGCAGAAGAAGCACCGGCUAACUCCGUGCCAGCAGCCGCGGUAAUACGGAGGGUGCAAGCGUUAAUCGGAAUUACUGGGCGUAAAGCGCACGCAGGCGGUCUGUCAAGUCGGAUGUGAAAUCCCCGGGCUCAACCUGGGAACUGCAUUCGAAACUGGCAGGCUAGAGUCUUGUAGAGGGGGGUAGAAUUCCAGGUGUAGCGGUGAAAUGCGUAGAGAUCUGGAGGAAUACCGGUGGCGAAGGCGGCCCCCUGGACAAAGACUGACGCUCAGGUGCGAAAGCGUGGGGAGCAAACAGGAUUAGAUACCCGUGUAGUC